Non-coding RNA from Coffea arabica (coffee), 1728 nucleotides. Lineage: Eukaryota; Viridiplantae; Streptophyta; Magnoliopsida; Gentianales; Rubiaceae. The record is from RefSeq and is a predicted model, not a curated record.
GGGCCUACUAGGCCCUGCCUUCUUCUCGCUACUUGGAUCACUAGUCACCACUCGCUAGAACUAGAUGCGUGAAAAAUGAAAAUGUUGAAGAAAUUAGCAUAUAAUAAUAUCGACCCUUCUAGUUCUAGGGCCAACGUUAAAAGGCACUUUCCCUCCCAAGAUCCUCAAGUGUGGUGUGGGUAUUAGCAAUGAUGAGGAUCGAAGUCGUACGCGAUGUGAUUCAGUAAACCACUGGAAAAUCUUUUUCCGGACGGACCUUGAAUACUACUGUUGGUAUUCUUGCACAAAAGAAAUGGAGGGUCACAUCUUGAAGGCUGGCUCUGCCGGUCCGGUCCGAUCGGAGAAGGCAAAACCAUGUGGAUUUUUUGUGCCCAUGAUUAGAGAGUAAUUGAAGUGCCAGGACAUCAUCAACCGGCAAAGCCUUCCAUUCUGCUCAGCAAUCCUUGGGUUACAGGUUACUCACUCAUACUUCCACAAUGCAUUUGUCGCAGGACCAAUUAAUUACUGUAGGAUAGGAGCAGGAGAUGGGAUUCAUUUUCAACAGCCUGUAUCCAUUCCAGUAUCCGUUUCAAAGUUUCGUUCCGUCUUUCUUAAGACUGUGCCGUCUAAUGUUGGCUAUUAAAUGCAUUGCUGGUCAUCAUCUCUCUUGCUACACAUUACCUAAUCUUCUCCCAGUUUGGUUAAAUGGGACCGGGCCAAUCCCACCUUUUUUUAUCCCUCUGGUCAAGGUAACAAAUUGGGCCUCUCUGCUCUGGGACCAUUGGCUCAACCACCAAAAACCCACCUGCAUUUUAAUUUAUCUGCAUUUUCCUCGUAGCCAACUUGAAAUAUUUGCAAGAGAGAUAGAUGGUCAACUAGCUGGUGAAGACAUCUGAAAUGAAAAGUUCCUAAUAUCACAGAUCAUCUGCUUUUGAUUUUCAUGAUAGGUGUUAACAAACUCCUGGAGCACAUGCACCGCUUGACUCAAUUGACGCCCGGAGAGUGAUUAAUCACGUACCCAGAAGCAAAAGUCGAAUACCUUCAAGCUGUACCAUUUGCUGACCAGAAAAGAAGAAACUCUUACAUAACAAUAAAGAGUAACAAGACAUUCUUCCCCUGAAAAUUUUCUUGCUAUAAAAUGUAACUCCCCAGUGUUUUUUGUGUCCUGGAUCGCCAUUCAACAUGGCCUUCUUGGCAUGCUUAAAACAGUUAGCGACAAAAAUGUGGAUGGGAGGAUAGACGAGCUUCAACAGAUAGGGUAUUAUCCGCCGGCCGAUGGCAGGGAAGGAAGAGGGUCCAACCAAUGCACUUUACGCCAUUUUGGACCACUAAGGCCUAGUGAUGCAAAAGUACAAUUAGCAACUUCCCACCACGAAGAAGGCUUUUAAACUAGUAGUAAUUAGCAUUCUGUCAUUAUCAGUAUCAUUAAACACGGAUAUCAUUGAGCCUUGUGUCUGAUAAUUACGUGCUGAAAGCUAGCUGGAGAGGUCAUUUGAGCUAAUAGAUUGAACAAACAUUUUGGUUCUGAAAUUUCGGUUGAAGAGAUCAGGAUAACACAUCAGCCAUCUGAUUCUUAUUCAUCUCCUGUAUUGUAGGUUACACAGCAAUCAUGUUUUUUGUCAUUAGCUGGUGAUCAUCUUCUUGGCCUUCAUGAAUAUUAUUGAUCAGCAAUUAUUUCCAUGAAAUUGUUGCGUACAGGGAAAUGGAUCUUAUCAUCCUAGUCAUAAAUGAAAGGCCCUUCUUUUUUUC